Molecule: ribosomal RNA, 210 nt
Filed under: uncultured bacterium
Lineage: Bacteria
Description: partial 16S ribosomal RNA
Rfam family: Bacterial small subunit ribosomal RNA
Source: RNAcentral
UACGUAGGGCGCAAGCGUUGUCCGGAAUUACUGGGCGUAAAGCGCGCGCAGGCGGCCCGCGAGGUGUCACGUGAAAGCCCCGGGCUCAACCCGGGAGGGUCGUGGCAACCGGCGGCUUGAGGCCGGGUAGAGGUGGGGUGGAACUCCUGGUGGGAGUGGUGAAAUGCGUAGGAGGAAUCAAGGAAGAACACCCCGUGGGCGAAAGGCCGG